AACGAACGCUGGCGGCAUGCCUAACACAUGCAAGUCGAACGAGGCCUUCGGGUCUAGUGGCGCACGGGUGCGUAACGCGUGGGAACCUGCCCUUAGGUUCGGAAUAACUCCCCGAAAGGGGUGCUAAUACCGGAUAAUGUCUUCGGACCAAAGAUUUAUCGCCUUUGGAUGGGCCCGCGUUGGAUUAGCUAGUUGGUAGGGUAAAAGCCUACCAAGGCGACGAUCCAUAGCUGGUCUGAGAGGAUGAUCAGCCACACUGGGACUGAGACACGGCCCAGACUCCUACGGGAAGCAGCAGUGGAGAAUAUUGGACAAUGGGCGAAAGCCUGAUCCAGCAAUGCCGCGUGAGUGAUGAAGGCCUUAGGGUUGUAAAGCUCUUUUACCCGGGAUGAUAAUGACAGUACCGGGAGAAUAAGCUCCGGCUAACUCCGUG
Molecule: ribosomal RNA, 433 nt
Filed under: uncultured bacterium
Lineage: Bacteria
Description: partial 16S ribosomal RNA
Rfam family: Bacterial small subunit ribosomal RNA
Source: RNAcentral